GAGGGUAUAGCUCAGUGGUAGGGUACAUACUUAGCAUGCAUGAGGUCCUGGGUUCAUUACCCAGUACUUCCA
RNAcentral lists this transfer RNA (72 nucleotides) under Camelus bactrianus (Bactrian camel). It matches the Rfam family "tRNA". From Rfam's summary of the family: Transfer RNA (tRNA) molecules are approximately 80 nucleotides in length. Their secondary structure includes four short double-helical elements and three loops (D, anti-codon, and T loops). Further hydrogen bonds mediate the characteristic L-shaped molecular structure. tRNAs have two regions of fundamental functional importance: the anti-codon, which is responsible for specific mRNA codon recognition, and the 3' end, to which the tRNAs corresponding amino acid is attached (by aminoacyl-tRNA synthetases). tRNAs cope with the degeneracy of the genetic code in two manners: having more than one tRNA (with a specific anti-codon) for a particular amino acid; and 'wobble' base-pairing, i.e. permitting non-standard base-pairing at the 3rd anti-codon position. Lineage: Eukaryota; Metazoa; Chordata; Mammalia; Artiodactyla; Camelidae. The record is from Rfam by way of RNAcentral. RNAcentral also lists the same sequence under 2 other names.